UUAAGCUACUAAGAGCACACGGAGGAUGCCUAGGCGCUAGGAGCCGAUGAAGGACGUGGCGAACAACGAAACUGCCUCGGGGAGCUGUAAGCAAGCUUUGAUCCGGGGGUGUCCGAAUGGGGAAACCCAGCUGGGGUAAUUUCCAGUUACUCAUAACUGAAUACAUAGGUUAUGUAGAGGCAUACCAAGGGAACUGAAACAUCUAAGUACCUUGAGGAAGAGAAAACAAUAGUGAUUCCGUCAGUAGCGGCGAGCGAACGCGGAGAAGCCCAAACCAGAGAGCUUGCUCUUUGGGGUUGUGGGACAUCUCACAUGGAGUUACAAAGGAACCGGUUAAACGAAGAGGUCUGGAAAGGCCCGCCAAAGAAGGUAAAAGCCCUGUAAUUGAAAGUCUGUUCUCUCCGAGAUGUAUCCCGAGUAGUGCGGGCACGUGAAACCCCGUAUGAAUCCGGCAGGACCAUCUGCCAAGGCUAAAUACUUCCUAGCGACCGAUAGUGAAGCAGUACCGUGAGGGAAAGGUGAAAAGCACCCCGGAAGGGGAGUGAAAUAGAACCUGAAACCGUGUGCUUACAAAAAGUCAGAGCCCGUUUUAGGGGUGAUGGCGUGCCUUUUGUAGAAUGAACCGGCGAGUUACGUUCCCGUGCAAGGUUAAGGUGAAGAGCCGGAGCCGCAGCGAAAGCGAGUCUGAAUAGGGCGACAUAGUACGUGGACGUAGACCCGAAACCGGGUGAUCUACCCCUGUCCAGGGUGAAGGUGCGGUAACACGCACUGGAGGCCCGAACCCACGCAUGUUGAAAAAUGCGGGGAUGAGGUGGGGGUAGCGGAGAAAUUCCAAUCGACUCGGAGAUAGCUGGUUCUCCCCGAAAUAGCUUUAGGGCUAGCCUCGGAAAACAGAGUCGUGGAGGUAGAGCACUGAUUGGGUGCGGGGCCCGCAAGGGUUACCAAGCUCAGUCAAACUCCGAAUGCCAUAGACUUACUUCCGGGAGUCAGACAGUGAGUGCUAAGAUCCAUUGUCAAAAGGGAAACAGCCCAGACCAUCAGCUAAGGUCCCCAAGUGUGUGUUAAGUGGGAAAGGAUGUGGAGUUGCACAGACAACCAGGAUGUUGGCUUAGAAGCAGCCACCAUUGAAAGAGUGCGUAAUAGCUCACUGGUCGAGUGACUCUGCGCCGAAAAUGUAACGGGGCUAAACACACCACCGAAGCUAUGGCUUGAUGCUUUGCAUCAGGGGUAGGGGAGCGUUGUAUAAGGGUUGAAGGUGUACCGUAAGGAGCGCUGGACAUUAUACAAGUGAGAAUGCCGGUAUGAGUAACGAAAAGAUCAGUGAGAAUCUGAUCCGCCGAAAGCCUAAGGGUUCCUGAGGAAGGCUCGUCCGCUCAGGGUAAGUCGGGACCUAAGGCGAGGCCGAAAGGCGUAGUCGAAGGACAACAGGUCGAAAUUCCUGUACCACCGUAAGCCGUUAUGAGCAAUGGGGGGACGCAGCAGGGUAGUGACGCGGACUGAUGGAUGUCCGUCUAAGCAGUGAGGCUGAUGUGUAGGCAAAUCCGCACAUCGUUAAGGCUGGGCUGUGAUGGGAGCGAAAAUUAUAGUAGCGAAGGUCAUGAUCUCACACUGCCAAGAAAAGCCUCUAGCCAGGUGAUGGUGCCCGUACCGCAACCGACACAGGUAGGCGAGAAGAGAAUUCUAAGGCGCGCGGAAGAACUCUCGUUAAGGAACUCGGCAAAAUGACCCCGUAACUUCGGGAGAAGGGGUGCCCCGGUAGUGUGAAUAGCACGAGGGGGCCGCAGUGAAAAGGCCCAAGCGACUGUUUAGCAAAACACAGGUCUGUGCGAAGCCGUAAGGCGAAGUAUACGGGCUGACGCCUGCCCGGUGCUGGAGAGGUUAAGGGGAGCGGUUAGGAGCAAUCCGAAGCUGUGAACCGAAGCCCCAGUAAACGGCGGCCGUAACUAUAACGGUCCUAAGGUAGCGAAAUUCCUUGUCAGGUAAAUUCUGACCCGCACGAAUGGCGUAACGACUUGGGCGCUGUCUCAACGAGAGAUCCGGUGAAAUUUUAAUACCUGUGAAGAUGCAGGUUACCCGCGACAGACGGAAAGACCCCAUGGAGCUUUACUGCAGCUUGAUAUUGAAUUUGGGUACGAUCUGUACAGGAUAGGUGGGAGCCUUUGAAACGUGAGCGCCAGCUUGCGUGGAGGCACCGUUGGAUACCACCCUGAUCGUAUCUAGGUUCUAACCUGGUACCGUAAU
This 2241-nucleotide ribosomal RNA is filed under the name Paenibacillus sp. AD87. Its description in RNAcentral is "bacterial LSU rRNA". It matches the Rfam family "Bacterial large subunit ribosomal RNA", at positions 3 to 2239 of the family's 2925-position model. The record is from RNAcentral. Lineage: Bacteria; Bacillati; Bacillota; Bacilli; Caryophanales; Paenibacillaceae.